This 162-nucleotide ribosomal RNA is filed under the name Triticum aestivum (bread wheat). RNAcentral describes it as "partial small subunit ribosomal RNA". The record is from RNAcentral. Lineage: Eukaryota; Viridiplantae; Streptophyta; Magnoliopsida; Poales; Poaceae.
AAUCCCGUCUUACUUUCACAGUUUCGCCUCAUAAGUUUAUGCAAUGUCUUCUACAAGAUUGCCUCUAAGGUGUUAGCGAAUCGUCUGAAGGCCGUGUUGCCUGAUAUUAUAUCCGAAGAGCAGUCUGAAUUUGUGCCUGCUAGACAUGAUGAAGGCUUAUGA